UGACGCCACUUUCCAUUCUAUUAGAAUACUGGGUGACCGGGCGAAAUAGGCCUUUUCAUAGGCUGCCCAUCUCUGCGGAGGGGUUAGCCGCAUUGCAGAGAGGGGAUCGAUGGCUGGGCCCAAAUCCUAUGAUAAAUAUUUUUCAAGCAGUGGGACUCGAGAUACGGACCCGGGUCUUCCCGAAUGGAAAGCCGAAGCGUUUCUAUGCUGCUAAUACGACCGAACUGAAAAUUAGUAAUUCGUUUCUAGUAAACUUGCUUAAAAACUAUUCACUCCCUAUUCCCGUUUAUCAUCCCCAAAUUCACACUAAAUAUAACCACGAAACUUGGUAUGGAAACUAUAGGUAAUGUCAAUAUUUUAUAAGAAUAAAUUGUAAUUUUUUUUGUCAACAAAUGACGCCACUUUCCACUCAGAUAGAGUACUAAGUGGCGGGGCGAAACAAGCCCUUCCACAGGCU
Molecule: long non-coding RNA, 457 nt
Filed under: Androctonus crassicauda
Lineage: Eukaryota; Metazoa; Arthropoda; Arachnida; Scorpiones; Buthidae
Source: RNAcentral